This 574-nucleotide ribosomal RNA is filed under the name Bos taurus (domestic cattle). Its description in RNAcentral is "partial 12S ribosomal RNA". It matches the Rfam family "Bacterial small subunit ribosomal RNA", at positions 9 to 962 of the family's 1533-position model. Lineage: Eukaryota; Metazoa; Chordata; Mammalia; Artiodactyla; Bovidae. The record is from RNAcentral.
CAUAGGUUUGGUCCCAGCCUUCCUGUUAACUCUUAAUAAACUUACACAUGCAAGCUUCUACACCCCAGUGAGAAUGCCCUCUAGGUUAUUAAAACUAAGAGGAGCUGGCAUCAAGCACACACCCUGUAGCUCACGACGCCUUGCUUAACCACACCCCCACGGGAAACAGCAGUGACAAAAAUUAAGCCAUAAACGAAAGUUUGACUAAGUUAUAUUAAUUAGGGUUGGUAAAUCUCGUGCCAGCCACCGCGGUCAUACGAUUAACCCAAGCUAACAGGAGUACGGCGUAAAACGUGUUAAAGCACCAUACCAAAUAGGGUUAAAUUCUAACUAAGCUGUAAAAAGCCAUGAUUAAAAUAAAAAUAAAUGACGAAAGUGACCCUACAAUAGCCGACGCACUAUAGCUAAGACCCAAACUGGGAUUAGAUACCCCACUAUGCUUAGCCCUAAACACAGAUAAUUACAUAAACAAAAUUAUUCGCCAGAGUACUACUAGCAACAGCUUAAAACUCAAAGGACUUGGCGGUGCUUUAUAUCCUUCUAGAGGAGCCUGUUCUAUAAUCAAAUCACUAGU